CCUACGGGGGGCAGCAGUGGGGAAUAUUGGACAAUGGGCGAAAGCCUGAUCCAGCCAUGCCGCGUGUGUGAAGAAGGCCUUCGGGUUGUAAAGCACUUUCAGUGGGGAAGAAAGCCUUGGGGCUAAUACCCUCGAGGAAGGACAUCACCCACAGAAGAAGCACCGGCUAACUCCGUGCCAGCAGCCGCGGUAAUACGGAGGGUGCGAGCGUUAAUCGGAAUUACUGGGCGUAAAGCGCGCGUAGGCGGUCUGAUAAGCCGGUUGUGAAAGCCCCGGGCUCAACCUGGGAACGGCAUCCGGAGCUGUCAGGCUAGAGUGCAGGAGAGGAAGGUAGAAUUCCCGGUGUAGCGGUGAAAUGCGUAGAGAUCGGGAGGAAUACCAGUGGCGAAGGCGGCCUUCUGGACUGACACUGACGCUGAGGUGCGAAAGCGUGGGUAGCAAACAGGAUUAGAUACCCCCAGUAGUC
This 466-nucleotide ribosomal RNA is filed under the name Vreelandella stevensii. Its description in RNAcentral is "partial 16S ribosomal RNA". It matches the Rfam family "Bacterial small subunit ribosomal RNA", at positions 338 to 795 of the family's 1533-position model. The record is from RNAcentral. Lineage: Bacteria; Pseudomonadati; Pseudomonadota; Gammaproteobacteria; Oceanospirillales; Halomonadaceae.